CAGAUGGCAACAUUACAAGAUGCCCAGACAGGCAUUAUGCCACAGAGCAUCGGACAGAAUGUGAACACAGUGAAUGACAAGAGGACAAAGUAUAGACUCUGAUAUCACAGUGAGCCAGCAAAAACCAGAACAAAUAUUGAAAGAGGACAAACCAUGUCUCGAAAUGCAUUCUGGUCCCUUACAAUACUAUCAUCAGAGAAAGGAGGAUGGAUGCGCUCAGGGUCUUCGUCUACCUUUUCCAGAACUUUGUCAUCUGAAUUUGGCCAACAAUGAGGUCUGUGUAUUGCCUGCUGGCGGUUAAAAGGCUUUUGAUUUGCUACAAACAUAGACAGCUGAAUGAAGUCAUUGACAGCAGAGCUAUUUGCCACUUCUUUCCUCUAGAUAGCUGAGGAAGAGGCAUUGUUGCCCGUGGCAUUGUUUCCAAAGCUCAGUGAGCUUGUUAUUCACUCAAACCCCUUGACAACACAGAGAAGUGGUAAGCUCACACAUCCUCAGGCAGGCUCAUUGUUAGUGCAUUAAAUCAACUAAAUCUGACAAAAAAUGCACAUCUUUUUGUGUUUUUCAAUACAGGCGAUCCACCAAUGCUGACCUGUUUUCUUCAAGACAAGCUGGGUAUUAAGAUAACACGCAAAAAAACAACUAAUCUCAUUAAGCGACAUAUACUCCAUAAAAGAAAGGUGGCACAAAUGCACAAGUUUGGAUUUAGCACUUCAUAUUUUUAAAGUAAAUCCUUUCAGAAACAAUUUACCUUCUACUUAAACUUUCAGGUGAAAACCACACUUCCAAAAUUUCCUUCGAUCACGGCAAAUCAACAUGCUACAGAAACGCUCUUCUCCAAGAAAUGUACUGGACAAGAUAAUCCUCUACCCUUAGAGUAUGGGUUAACUCAUGUAUUUGGCUUCUCGUCUCAAACAAGCAUUGACGACGAGGAAGACAUUGGCAUAGGCCAGGAGCAUUUUGACUUGACAAGUGCAGACAUAUUCUUUGAGACGAAUCAAAAUGCAGAGCCGUUCUUUGUGACAGAG
This 1025-nucleotide long non-coding RNA is filed under the name Sinocyclocheilus grahami. RNAcentral's name for it is "lncRNA (ENSSGRG00000044823.1)". Lineage: Eukaryota; Metazoa; Chordata; Actinopteri; Cypriniformes; Cyprinidae. The record is from RNAcentral.